Triplophysa rosa is the source of this 2502-nucleotide long non-coding RNA. RefSeq lists it as uncharacterized. NCBI's taxonomy places the organism in Eukaryota, Metazoa, Chordata, Actinopteri, Cypriniformes, Nemacheilidae. The record is from RefSeq and is a predicted model, not a curated record. The transcript has 3 exons.
GUAGCGGAAGUUGCGUUUUACUCAUGUCACGGAUCUUUACCGGGGGCGGGGCUUUAGAGCGCGCCAGAAGCAAGCACGUGCGGGAUUCUGCGAUAUCCUCUCUUCGGGGCUCUGAGGUGCUGUAGUAUUAUUGGUGUUAAUCCAUCUGAAGAACAGAUCAUUUGUGUUGUGGAUCGGUGAAAAAACACUGAUGAGCUGUUGAUGGCGAUUUAACUUCUCCAGGUUCUUUGGUCACGGUGAGGAGGACCUGUUUUAAACAGAGGAUCGAACCGUGUGUGAUCUCUGCUCAAACACAGCUGUUCUUACUGUGAUUUUAUUUCACAUUUACUUAUUUAUGUUCUGUCAUGUGUGUGAAUGUGAUAAUUUACUCAUGACUUCAAGCUCUUUCUAAACACUGUAGUUUAAUGUUGUUUAAACCAGUGGUUCCCAAACCUGUGCCUGGUGACCUACUGCUCUGCACAUUCUGCAUGUGACUCAAGUCAUCAGCUCAUUAACGGAGAGAACCAUGAACUGAAGUAAGCCUGCCGGUUAAAGGAGACCUACAAAAUGUGCAGAGCAGUGGGUCCACACUAGUUACAGGUUUGGGAACCACCGGUUUAAAUCAAGUCAUGUCUGCAAGUGCUCUGAUGUAGAGAAGUGUUAAUUUGUUAAUUAUGAAGAUAAUUGUACAUCAGUACGCAGGACCGUCACUGUGAUGUCAUACGCUGAUCAGUCUGUGCAGUGCCUCAUGAAGUUGAACGCGUCUAGUGUUGUCUGUCUUACAAUAUGACAAUGUAUAGCCAUGACAUGGACUAGUACAUCUAAUAAAACAGCUGCUGUAAUGUAGAAGACGGGUGUGUGCAGCUUUAUUCUGUGCUGCUGUCUACAGCAACAAAAUUACACCAGAUCUGAUCUAAGCAGUCAGACUGAAACAGAUUUCUAGAAAUGAGAUCUGGAUAGGAUUUUAAAACCACAUACAAAUGCAGCCGGAAACAGAUUUGUAAUAUUGUAUUUAAUGUGAUUGUUUGUUGUCCACACUUGCUACGUAUGGCCAGAUGUGAAUCAGACGUGCACAAAAAUCAGAUUUGGACUGAUAGUGUCAAUGGCGAAUGUCACGUGACUAAACCGCUAAACGCGUCUCCUUACAUGCGUUUGUUUUAUUAGCAGUAUGGAUUUUAAGAUAAUCAGCUAACCUAGCUAGCUGUUUAUGUUUUUAGGCGUUUUGUGAUAUUUUAGUAAUCAAAUGUCUGUGAGAAGGGACAAAAACGUUAUAUAUCAAUCUGUUUAUGUGAUGGGCAUCAAUUUUGAUCGUCUUUCCCUGUUGAAAAAACAGCGUAUGCUGGUUUGGUAUGUUUUGAUGCAGAUUUGUGCGGGUUUAAGCUGGUCAAACCAGCAUCAAAACUCACCUAACCUUUUUUUCAGCAGGGUUGGUAGCGAAGUACAUGUUGAGUAAAACGGCUCUUUAUGUAAUGGAGCGCACACAAAAGAUUUAAACCGGAUGCGAUGAUGAGACUUGUUUUCCAGUUUCUGUGUGUGACGUUCGGUACAAACCCCUCACUACCAGGUAGCCCACUUGUUGCCUUUGACUUGUCUUGUCAGUAUGUGAUGUGUACAGUAGAUGGCGCCAGUGCUCGUGUUACUGUACACAUGAAUCCACUGAAUAUCCUUACUGCUCAUAUGAGAGGUGAAGAUGUUACCAUGGAAACUGAGCCGUCAGCACACCUGCAGCUGCUGUCUGCGCAAGUCAACAUCCCAUUUACAUCAAACCCACACACCUGUGGUUAGACAGUGGGGUGGGGGCUUGUAUGAUAUGAAGAAGUGUAAUCACUGUAGAGGAGUCUGAGGCUUCAGAAACUAAUUCACAGGGUGGUUUUUGAGUUCUAAAUGUUGAUUUCUAGAUUGCUCAACAGAAGGAUUUAUUGAACACACAAAAAACACGUAGAGGCAUCAAAUUAUGGAAACUUCAAGAGACUGAUGACAUGCAUGUAAAGUUGUCAAAUCCACUGAUAGGGCUGGAUGGAUGGAUGGAUGGAUGGAUGGGGGAUGGGGGGGGGUUGUGUUUGCUCGAGUGAUGUAAUCCAUCUAGUUGCUGCUCUGAUCUGUGUAUUGGACAGAAUGAACAAAUAAACCAAUGCUGCCAAAGUCACUUCACACACACACAUGCAUGUUUCUGUGUUUGCUGUUUGUAAAUGAAUCUCCCUCUUUCAGUUAUUGCGUUUCUGAUAUUUCAUGCAGCAACUUUUGAUUUCUAAUGUUUCCUCAGCAUUAUUUCAGCUCACUCAUCUGAAGUGCCCAUGUUUGUGUAAAAUAAAUCUGCACUGACUCGAGUGUUUGUGUGUUAUGAGACAUGAGAAGCACACACCAUCAGCUGUAUACUUAGCCAAUCGGAUUGUUUCUUGUGUACAUUUUCUUGAUUGAAUCUCUCUCUCUCUGCUGCACUGGCUGGUUCAGUGUGUUUGCUGUCCUGAAUGUAAAGUGUGUCCUUUGGUCUUUUCUGGAGCAGGAAGACAGAACAUCUAAAAA